GACGAACGCUGGCGGCGUGCUUAACACAUGCAAGUCGAACGGAAAGGCCCUGCUUUUGUGGGGUGCUCGAGUGGCGAACGGGUGAGUAACACGUGAGUAACCUGCCCUUGACUUUGGGAUAACUUCAGGAAACUGGGGCUAAUACCGGAUAGGAGCUCCUGCUGCAUGGGGGGGGUUGGAAAGUUUCGGCGGUUGGGGAUGGACUCGCGGCUUAUCAGCUUGGUGGUGGGGUAGUGGCUUACCAAGGCUUUGACGGGUAGCCGGCCUGAGAGGGUGACCGGCCACAUUGGGACUGAGAUACGGCCCAGACUCCUACGGGAGGCAGCAGUGGGGAAUAUUGCACAAUGGGCGGAAGCCUGAUGCAGCAACGCCGCGUGCGGGAUGACGGCCUUCGGGUUGUAAACCGCCUUCGCCUGUGACGAAGCGUGAGUGACGGUAAUGGGUAAAGAAGCACCGGCUAACUACGUG
Molecule: ribosomal RNA, 468 nt
Filed under: uncultured bacterium
Lineage: Bacteria
Description: partial 16S ribosomal RNA
Rfam family: Bacterial small subunit ribosomal RNA
Source: RNAcentral